This 272-nucleotide unclassified non-coding RNA is filed under the name uncultured fungus. RNAcentral describes it as "partial contains small subunit ribosomal RNA, internal transcribed spacer 1, and 5.8S ribosomal RNA". The stretch from base 1 to 73 matches the Rfam family "Eukaryotic small subunit ribosomal RNA", at positions 1759 to 1831 of the family's 1831-position model. Lineage: Eukaryota; Fungi. The record is from RNAcentral.
GCAAACUUGGUCAUUUAGAGGAAGUAAAAGUCGUAACAAGGUCUCCGUUGGUGAACCAGCGGAGGGAUCAUUACCGAGUUAUCACAACUCCAAACCCAUGUGAAUCUUACCUUUUGUUGCCUCGGUGGCUGUAUAGGGAGGGGUCAAACCCCCCUAUUCACCGCCGGUGGACACCUAAACUCUGUUUUUUAUGGCAUUCUGAAUAGACUAUAUAAUAAGUCAAAACUUUCAACAACGGAUCUCUUGGUUCUGGCAUCGAUGAAGAACGCAGC